Molecule: ribosomal RNA, 292 nt
Filed under: uncultured bacterium
Lineage: Bacteria
Description: partial 16S ribosomal RNA
Rfam family: Bacterial small subunit ribosomal RNA
Source: RNAcentral
GUGUCAGCAGCCGCGGUAAUACAGAGGUCUCAAGCGUUGUUCGGAAUCACUGGGCGUAAAGGGUGCGCAGGCCGCGCGGGCAGUCAAAUGUGUAAUUCAGGGGCUCAACCCCUGGACUGCGCUUGAUACUUCCGUGCUAGAACCUUGGAGAGGAGUCUGGAAUUCUCGGUGUAGCAGUGAAAUGCGUGGAUAUCGAGAAGAACACUAACGGCGUAAGCAAGACUCUGGACAAGUGUUGACGCUCAUGCACGAAGGCUAGGGUAGCGAACGGGAUUAGAAACCCCGGUAGUCC